This 1504-nucleotide ribosomal RNA is filed under the name Clostridium botulinum. RNAcentral describes it as "16S ribosomal RNA". It matches the Rfam family "Bacterial small subunit ribosomal RNA". Lineage: Bacteria; Bacillati; Bacillota; Clostridia; Eubacteriales; Clostridiaceae. The record is from RNAcentral.
GAGAGUUUGAUCCUGGCUCAGGACGAACGCUGGCGGCGUGCUUAACACAUGCAAGUCGAGCGAUGAAGCUUCCUUCGGGAAGUGGAUUAGCGGCGGACGGGUGAGUAACACGUGGGUAACCUGCCUCAAAGUGGGGGAUAGCCUUCCGAAAGGAAGAUUAAUACCGCAUAAUAUAAGAGAAUCGCAUGAUUUUCUUAUCAAAGAUUUAUUGCUUUGAGAUGGACCCGCGGCGCAUUAGCUAGUUGGUAAGGUAACGGCUUACCAAGGCAACGAUGCGUAGCCGACCUGAGAGGGUGAUCGGCCACAUUGGAACUGAGACACGGUCCAGACUCCUACGGGAGGCAGCAGUGGGGAAUAUUGCGCAAUGGGGGAGACCCUGACGCAGCAACGCCGCGUGGGUGAUGAAGGUCUUCGGAUUGUAAAGCCCUGUUUUCUAGGACGAUAAUGACGGUACUAGAGGAGGAAGCCACGGCUAACUACGUGCCAGCAGCCGCGGUAAUACGUAGGUGGCGAGCGUUGUCCGGAUUUACUGGGCGUAAAGGGUGCGUAGGCGGAUGUUUAAGUGGGAUGUGAAAUCCCCGGGCUUAACCUGGGGGCUGCAUUCCAAACUGGAUAUCUAGAGUGCAGGAGAGGAAAGCGGAAUUCCUAGUGUAGCGGUGAAAUGCGUAGAGAUUAGGAAGAACACCAGUGGCGAAGGCGGCUUUCUGGACUGUAACUGACGCUGAGGCACGAAAGCGUGGGUAGCAAACAGGAUUAGAUACCCUGGUAGUCCACGCCGUAAACGAUGGAUACUAGGUGUAGGGGGUAUCAACUCCCCCUGUGCCGCAGUUAACACAAUAAGUAUCCCGCCUGGGGAGUACGGUCGCAAGAUUAAAACUCAAAGGAAUUGACGGGGGCCCGCACAAGCAGCGGAGCAUGUGGUUUAAUUCGAAGCAACGCGAAGAACCUUACCUGGACUUGACAUCCCUUGCAUAGCCUAGAGAUAGGUGAAGCCCUUCGGGGCAAGGAGACAGGUGGUGCAUGGUUGUCGUCAGCUCGUGUCGUGAGAUGUUAGGUUAAGUCCUGCAACGAGCGCAACCCUUGUUAUUAGUUGCUACCAUUAAGUUGAGCACUCUAAUGAGACUGCCUGGGUAACCAGGAGGAAGGUGGGGAUGACGUCAAAUCAUCAUGCCCCUUAUGUCCAGGGCUACACACGUGCUACAAUGGUAGGUACAAUAAGACGCAAGACCGUGAGGUGGAGCAAAACUUAUAAAACCUAUCUCAGUUCGGAUUGUAGGCUGCAACUCGCCUACAUGAAGCUGGAGUUGCUAGUAAUCGCGAAUCAGAAUGUCGCGGUGAAUACGUUCCCGGGCCUUGUACACACCGCCCCGUCACACCAUGAGAGCUGGUAACACCCGAAGUCCGUGAGGUAACCGUAAGGAGCCAGCGGCCGAAGGUGGGAUUAGUGAUUGGGGUGAAGUCGUAACAAGGUAGCCGUAGGAGAACCUGCGGCUGGAUCACCUCC